GGGGUAACGGCCCACCAAACCGACGAUGGAUAGGGGUUCUGAGAGGAAGGUCCCCCACAUUGGUACUGAGACACGGACCAAACUCCUACGGGAGGCAGCAGUGAGGAAUAUUGGUCAAUGGGCGUAAGCCUGAACCAGCCAAGUCGCGUGAGGGAUGAAGGUUCUAUGGAUCGUAAACCUCUUUUAUAAGGGAAUAAAGUGCGGGACGUGUCCCGUUUUGUAUGUACCUUAUGAAUAAGGAUCGGCUAACUCCGUGCCAGCAGCCGCGGUAAUACGGAGGAUCCGAGCGUUAUCCGGAUUUAUUGGGUUUAAAGGGUGCGUAGGCGGCCUUUUAAGUCAGCGGUGAAAGUCUGUGGCUCAACCAUAGAAUUGCCGUUGAAACUGGGAGGCUUGAGUAUGUUUGAGGCAGGCGGAAUGCGUGGUGUAGCGGUGAAAUGCUUAGAUAUCACGCAGAACCCCGAUUGCGAAGGCAGCCUGCCAAGCCAUGACUGACGCUGAUGCACGAAAGCGUGGGGAUCAAACAGGAUUAGAUACCCUGGUAGUCCACGCAGUAAACGAUGAUCACUAGCUGUUUGCGAUACACAGUAAGCGGCACAG
RNAcentral lists this ribosomal RNA (597 nucleotides) under uncultured bacterium. Its description in RNAcentral is "bacterial SSU rRNA". It matches the Rfam family "Bacterial small subunit ribosomal RNA", at positions 254 to 851 of the family's 1533-position model. The record is from RNAcentral.